UGGGGAAUUUUGGACAAUGGGCGCAAGCCUGAUCCAGCCAUGCCGCGUGCGGGAAGAAGGCCUUCGGGUUGUAAACCGCUUUUGUCAGGGAAGAAAUCUUCUGAGUUAAUACCUCGGGAGGAUGACGGUACCUGAAGAAUAAGCACCGGCUAACUACGUGCCAGCAGCCGCGGUAAUACGUAGGGUGCAAGCGUUAAUCGGGAUUACUGGGCGUAAAGCGUGCGCAGGCGGUUUUGUAAGACAGAGGUGAAAUCCCCGGGCUCAACCUGGGAACUGCCUUUGUGACUGCAAGGCUUGAGUGCGGCAGAGGGGGGAUGGAAUUCCGCGUGUAGCAGUGAAAUGCGUAGAUAUGCGGAGGAACACCGAUGGCGAAGGCAAUCCCCUGGGCCUGCACUGACGCUCAUGCACGAAAGCGUGGGGAG
This 422-nucleotide ribosomal RNA is filed under the name uncultured bacterium. RNAcentral describes it as "partial 16S ribosomal RNA". It matches the Rfam family "Bacterial small subunit ribosomal RNA", at positions 355 to 768 of the family's 1533-position model. The record is from RNAcentral.